AGUGAACGCUGGCGGUAUGCCUAACACAUGCAAGUCGAACGGCAGGACAGUAAGAGCUUGCUGUUACGAGGGGCGAGGGGCGGGCGGGUGGGGAGUACAUUAGCAGCAACUUUUGCGUGGGGGAGAACGUAGGGAAACUAACGCGAAUAACGCAAAGGACCUACGGGGGAAAGCAGGGGAACUUGGGACCUGGGGAGAGCGAAGGAGCCGAUGUCGGAUUAGCUAGUUGGCGGGGUAAAGGCGCACCAAGGCGACGGUCCGUAGCCGGCCUGAGAGGGUGAUCAGCCACACUGGAACUGAGACACGGUCCAGACUCCUACGGGAGGCGGCAGUGGGGAAUAUUGGACGAUGGGCGCAAGCCUGAUCCAGCCAUACCGCGUGGGUGAUGAAGGCCUUCUGGUUGUAAAGCCAUUUUGUUCGGAAAGAAAAGCAGCAGGUUCAUACCCCGCGGUUCUGACGGUACCCAAAGAAUAAGCACCGGCUAACUUCGUG
This 492-nucleotide ribosomal RNA is filed under the name uncultured bacterium. RNAcentral's name for it is "partial 16S ribosomal RNA". It matches the Rfam family "Bacterial small subunit ribosomal RNA", at positions 30 to 507 of the family's 1533-position model. The record is from RNAcentral.